This 253-nucleotide ribosomal RNA is filed under the name uncultured bacterium. RNAcentral's name for it is "partial 16S ribosomal RNA". It matches the Rfam family "Bacterial small subunit ribosomal RNA", at positions 524 to 776 of the family's 1533-position model. The record is from RNAcentral.
GACGUAGGGCGCGAGCGUUGUCCGGAUUUAUUGGGCGUAAAGAGCGUGUAGGCGGCCAGGUAGGUCUGCUGUGAAAACUCGAGGCUUAACCUCGAGCUGUCGGCGGAAACCAUCUGGCUAGAGUCCGGAAGAGGAGAAUGGAAUUCCCGGUGUAGCGGUGAAAUGCGCAGAUAUCGGGAAGAACACCCGUGGCGAAGGCGGUUCUCUGGGACGGUACUGACGCUGAGACGCGAAAGCGUGGGGAGCGAACAGG